RNAcentral lists this long non-coding RNA (437 nucleotides) under Anas platyrhynchos platyrhynchos (common mallard). RNAcentral's name for it is "lncRNA (ENSAPLG00000026426.1)". Lineage: Eukaryota; Metazoa; Chordata; Aves; Anseriformes; Anatidae. The record is from RNAcentral.
GUCACCCUAGUGCUUUGCUCCAGCCCAUCUUGCACACAGCGUGGCACCAAAUUGAUGGCUGCUCCUUGCCCUGCGACUCCCAGCUUCCCUCAGCUCUCACACGCUUAGCUCCAGGUUAUCGGAGUCCAAGAAUGAAGCAAAAAUUCUUUGAUCCCAAUGAUGGCGCAGUGCAUGUGACGUGCAUCAGCAGCUGGAAGGCAGAGGGACCAGGACAGGUUUCAUCUGGAAAGGGGCUGCGCAUUGGGGUGGGUGUCACGGGGAAGAUCUACAAUGAGGUAACAGCUGUUUGCAUAAUGGAGACCGGUUGGGCACAAGUCAUGAAAGACAAAGUCAAGGCAAGGGCCCGCAGGAUCCAGGAGGCCUUCGCACCCAUGAAGACAUCACUGCUGAGUCAGGCCCAGGGCUGCGUGCACACCCAAGAAAUACACAUGUGCUGA